RNAcentral lists this ribosomal RNA (509 nucleotides) under Camallanus tuckeri. RNAcentral's name for it is "partial 28S ribosomal RNA". The record is from RNAcentral. Lineage: Eukaryota; Metazoa; Nematoda; Chromadorea; Rhabditida; Camallanidae.
UUGCAAAGAACUUUGAAGAGAGAGUUCAAGAGGGCGUGAAACCGCUAAGAAUGAAGCGGAUAGAGUCGACGAAACUUAAUUAGUAUUCAACCAACACGUCAAACGGUUUCACGUACGUGCGUUACGUUAUGCCAAAUUUCGUGACGUCCAACGUACGUAUUGAACUGUAUGACGCUAAUGUUGGCGUAUUUACUAAUUGUAUGCAUUGAGAGCUUCGUAUUAGCGCACGAAGAAACUCAACCAAUAGAGGCUUGUCGGUUAGGUUAGGUUAAACUAUUCUAAUCGACAAUAACCUAUUGAGAGUUGAUCGCGUGUCGCAUAUGAAGUUUGCGAGUAGCGCGCGCAAUUAAUAGCGCAAAAGCACUUUUUUGGUGCCGCUACGCUAUUCAAGCGCUCUCCUCUUAUCAUUUUUUAAGUGAACUUAUGCGAUUUUUUCACACGUCAUACGUGGCGUGGAAAUUUCGUGUGAAAUAUUCACUUAUUAUUUGAGGAUGUAUCAAAAUAGCGCC